AACGAACGCUGGCGGCAUGCCUAACACAUGCAAGUCGAACGAGACCUUCGGGUCUAGUGGCGCAUGGGUGCGUAACGCGUGGGAACCUGCCCUUAGGUUCGGAAUAACUCCCCGAAAGGGGUGCUAAUACCGGAUAAUGUCUUCGGACCAAAGAUUUAUCGCCUUUGGAUGGGCCCGCGUUGGAUUAGCUAGUUGGUAGGGUAAAAGCCUACCAAGGCGACGAUCCAUAGCUGGUCUGAGAGGAUGAUCAGCCACACUGGGACUGAGACACGGCCCAGACUCCUGCGGGAUGCAGGAGGGGGGGAUAAUGGACCAAUGGCGGAAGGCUGAACCAACCAAGCCGCGUGAGUGAUUAAGGCCUUAAGGUUGUAAAGCUUCUUUAACCCGGGAUGUUAUUGCAGGACCAGGAGGAUAAGCCCCGGCUUACUUCGUG
Molecule: ribosomal RNA, 433 nt
Filed under: uncultured bacterium
Lineage: Bacteria
Description: partial 16S ribosomal RNA
Rfam family: Bacterial small subunit ribosomal RNA
Source: RNAcentral